AUUGAACGCUGGCGGCAUGCCUUACACAUGCAAGUCGAACGGCAGCACGGGGGCAACCCUGGUGGCGAGUGGCGAACGGGNGAGUAAUACAUCGGAACGUGCCCAGUAGUGGGGGAUAGCCCGGCGAAAGCCGGAUUAAUACCGCAUACGACCUACGGGUGAAAGCGGGGGAUCGCAAGACCUCGCGCUAUCGGAGCAGCCGAUGUCAGAUUAGGUUGUUGGUGGGGUAAAAGCCUACCAAGCCGACGAUCUGUAGCUGGUCUGAGAGGACGACCAGCCACACUGGGACUGAGACACGGCCCAGACUCCUACGGGAGGCAGCAGGUGGGGAAUUUUUGGACAAUGGGCGCAAGCCUGAUCCAG
This 363-nucleotide ribosomal RNA is filed under the name uncultured bacterium. Its description in RNAcentral is "bacterial SSU rRNA". It matches the Rfam family "Bacterial small subunit ribosomal RNA", at positions 29 to 391 of the family's 1533-position model. The record is from RNAcentral.